CAGUCGCCGCGGUAAAACGUAGGUGGCAAGCGUUGUCCGGAAUUAUUGGGCGUAAAGGGCUCGCAGGCGGUUUCUUAAGUCUGAUGUGAAAGCCCCCGGCUCAACCGGGGAGGGUCAUUGGAAACUGGGAAACUUGAGUGCAGAAGAGGAGAGUGGAAUUCCACGUGUAGCGAUGAAAUGCGUAGAGAUGUGGAGGAACACCAGUGGCGAAGGCGACUCUCUGGUCUGUAACUGACGCUGAGGAGCGAAAGCGUGGGGAGCGAACAGGAUUAGAUACCCCUGUAGUCCCUGUCUCUUAUAC
Molecule: ribosomal RNA, 301 nt
Filed under: uncultured bacterium
Lineage: Bacteria
Description: partial 16S ribosomal RNA
Rfam family: Bacterial small subunit ribosomal RNA
Source: RNAcentral